AAAGGUUUUGUUGAAUGAAAUGCCAUUUUUUUUUGUUUUUUCCCUUAGGGAACAAUAAGAAAAUUUCUCUUUUUGAGCCAAUCUCCUUCUGAAACGAGCUCCAGGAGUGGUCACAACCUGCCAUAAAAAUGCCAUGUGCAAGAGGAUAUAUUUCAUAUCGGGCAAGCAGGCUGGGACGAUACGAUCUGUUUGGGGUUUGAAGGUCAUUUUAAAAUUUGUAUCUUUGCCUUUUUGUCUCAAAUCCCUCCUGAGAUGUGGGAAAUAGAGAAAAGUACAAGACUGGAGUUGACUGAAG
RNAcentral lists this long non-coding RNA (295 nucleotides) under Ficedula albicollis (Collared flycatcher). Its description in RNAcentral is "lncRNA (ENSFALG00000027849.1)". Lineage: Eukaryota; Metazoa; Chordata; Aves; Passeriformes; Muscicapidae. The record is from RNAcentral.